Molecule: non-coding RNA, 202 nt
Filed under: Bacillus sp. (in: firmicutes)
Lineage: Bacteria; Bacillati; Bacillota; Bacilli; Caryophanales; Bacillaceae
Also listed under: 1 other name
Source: RNAcentral
GUAUUAGCUAGGGAAUAAGAUGCGUAUAGACGCUUAAUAGGGAAAUCGAUGAGAGUUCGAUACUGCCCCCGCAACUGUAAGUGCUGACGAACUAAACAUAGUCCACUGUAUCGGGUUGUCUCCUUUUGGAGGUGAUGAUACGGGAAGGGUUUGGUGAGGGUGACGCACAAGUCAGGAGACCUGUCUUAUUUUUUGAAUUUCA